Misgurnus anguillicaudatus (oriental weatherfish) is the source of this 1895-nucleotide non-coding RNA. The record is from RefSeq and is a predicted model, not a curated record. Lineage: Eukaryota; Metazoa; Chordata; Actinopteri; Cypriniformes; Cobitidae.
UCAUUGUUACCAUGAUUGAGAAGUGUGUGUUCAGUGUAGAGGACGGCACAGUGGGUUAGCGCGCAUCAUUGUUGCCUCACAGCAAAAAGGUCUCUGGUUCAAUGCUUACUUGAACUGUCAGAUCUUGUUUUGGUAGUGGUUUUGUUUUGCAUAACAGGCAAGUUCAUAUGGAUUUAAAUAAAUAAAUUAUAUUUAUCAGAGCAUAGUGUGUAACUUAUCUGACAUGACAUUUUUUUUCUUUUUGGCCAACAAGAAAAUUUUAUUAAUACAUUUUAUUUCAAUUUGGCCCAACAAGCUAUGUUUAAUCAAGAGACAAUAUUUAAUUGACAGAACACUCUAUUUUAAGUUCAGUCUACAUGCUGGGGUAGUCAGCAAAACACAAAAAAGUUUGUUUCCCCAACUUAAAUUGGGCCAACUAACAAUUUGAGGUGCAACGGGUCACUAGAAAUUUUUAUGUUGGAGGCAUAUUUUUUUUUACAGUGUGUCAUGGGUACUAACCAAUCAUGAAACGAUUACAAGGAUUCAACUUACGUCAUUAAAGUGUACUUCUGCGCAAAUCUACAGAAGCGCACUGAGAGAAAUGCCCACGCCCCCUCCGUGCGCGUUUGUUUGUUUGGGUAGCAUAGCAGCCGGCUAGGCUCUCCGGAGCCGCUGAGAACCUCUCCAAAGGUUAGAAAUAUCAUCUCCAUCGUGGAUCGUCGAAUGCAGAUGACUUUUUUGUGUUGAGAGUGGUUUGGAGAAGUUGAUAAAGAGCACGACCGCGGAGCAACAAUGCAAGACUGGAUAUAAACAAACCGCGUCGUCGAGGAGAGAUGGACCGGACUAUGAGCUCAGCUGCGCUCGCUUGGAAAAAGGCUUUAGCUGACACAGAGGAGGACUGGAAUCUGGAGUGCUUUCAUGAGCGACCACAUUCAAAAUAACAAGUAUUUUGUUAUAAUGUGCAAAUGUUUUUUUCUGAAAAAGUUUUUUCUAUGUGCUUUGGUGGGUAGAGAAGUUCUGAAUUGAUAUACAUCAUGUAAUAUGUAGUCCUGACUCAUUUUCUUUUGAUAAUCAUGUCAUUUUGUUAUCAUGUGUAUAUUUAAAGUUUCCAAGUGCACUUUUUCUGAAAGGACGCCUGGGGUGUAUUCCAGAAAGCAGGUUAUGUGACUUACCCGGGUAUGUUUAGGAGUAAGUAAGCGGAUAACCUCUGCUUUCGGUUCCAAAAACGAAGGUAACUUUCGGGUUAUGUAAGAAACCAUAGCAACUGACUCUCUGAAGAUAACCUACUCCGGAGCAGGUUAUGUUGCAGGGUAAGUUCAUUUCAGUUAAUAAAACGAGGCUCCGGAGGAUGUCUGCGCAUGCGUGUACUUAUGAUGAGCGUGCAGCGGGCGUGGAAGCAUAUAUUUUGCAUAAUAUUACAAUAUUAAAGCAUUUAUUUUCUUACAUUUAUAGUCGCAAAUAUUUAUUGCUGUCUUAAAACAUUUACGAUAUUUUCUUUAAAGAAACAUUUUUUUUAUAACAUGGAUUGAUAUUUGUGAUUGGACUAAUUACUGUACAUUUAAUUAUGUCCAUUAUUGAUAAAAAAUUAUUCAUAUUUGUGUUCGGACUAAAUACUAUACAUUUAAUUAUGUUCAUCAUUAAUAUAUCUCCAAAUAUCAGUAGAUGUAUGAAACACAUUUCACAAGUACAUUUCUAUUUAAAUUUGGUCAAUUCAUAAAUAACCUCAUCUUUCACUUACUAGAUAAUUUGAGAUGAAUCUAAAGUUCUAAUAAAUUGUGUGUGCAAAUACAUUGUCAAUAUUGAGCCAGAAAUCUUAACAUAUUUUACUUAAGUGACAAUGUGCCAAUGUUACAGUAACAAAUAGAAACACAUGAUGCCUAUCAAAAUAAUAAUUACUGAGGGACAGAAGUUACCCC